This 404-nucleotide unclassified non-coding RNA is filed under the name uncultured Cortinarius. RNAcentral describes it as "sequence contains ITS2". The stretch from base 1 to 154 matches the Rfam family "5.8S ribosomal RNA". The record is from RNAcentral. Lineage: Eukaryota; Fungi; Basidiomycota; Agaricomycetes; Agaricales; Cortinariaceae.
AACUUUUGGCAACGGAUCUCUUGGUUCCCGCAUCGAUGAAGAACGCAGCGAAACGCGAUAGUUAAUGUGAAUUGCAGAAUUCAGUGAAUCAUCGAAUCUUUGAACGCACCUUGCGCUCCUUGGUAUUCCGAGGAGCAUGCCUGUUUGAGUGUCAUUAAUAUAUAUAUAUCAAACUUCUCUUGUUGAGUGGUUUGGAUGUGGGGGUUUGCUGGCCUCUUAAAGAGUUCAGCUCCCCUAAAAUGCAUUAGCAGAACAAACCUGUUCAUUGGUGUGAUAACUAUCUACGCUAUUGAAUGUGAGGGGCAGUUCAGCUUUCUAACAGUCCUUGGACAAUUCAUCAUUAAUGUGACCUCAAAUCAGGUAGGACUACCCGCUGAACUUAAGCAUAUCAAUAAGCGGAGGCU